UACGGAGGGUGCAAGCGUUAAUCGGAAUUACUGGGCGUAAAGCGCACGUAGGUGGUUUGUUAAGCCAGCUGUGAAAUCCCCGGGCUCAACCUGGGCACUGCAGUUGGAACUGGCAAGCUAGAGUAGGGUAGAGGGGUGUGGAAUUCCAGGUGUAGCGGUGAAAUGCGUAGGUAUCUGGAGGAACAUCAGUGGCGAAGGCGACACCCUGGACUCAUACUGACACUGAGGUGCGAAAGCGUGGGGAGCAAACAGG
RNAcentral lists this ribosomal RNA (253 nucleotides) under uncultured bacterium. RNAcentral's name for it is "partial 16S ribosomal RNA". It matches the Rfam family "Bacterial small subunit ribosomal RNA", at positions 524 to 776 of the family's 1533-position model. The record is from RNAcentral.